Lacerta agilis (Sand lizard) is the source of this 457-nucleotide long non-coding RNA. RefSeq lists it as uncharacterized. The record is from RefSeq and is a predicted model, not a curated record. Lineage: Eukaryota; Metazoa; Chordata; Lepidosauria; Squamata; Lacertidae. The transcript is spliced from 3 exons.
CCAUGUUUGCUCUGCCGUGCUCAUGCAGAGCUCCUGGUUAUGCCCAGAUAUCACAUUGGAGAGCCUGUUCCCCUACCAAACUGUUAGAUGGGCAUGAUGACAUGUUUCAUCUAUAAAGGGGAAACAAGCAAGAUACCCCCCACCCCCCACUCCAGUGCAUUGUGGCCCAGCUGAAGAGAUUUGGUUACAGGAGAGGAUCCAAGAACAGUUCAUCACACUAUCAGUGGCACCCAUCAAAAAAGAGGUAUAUUAUAGGCUUGCGUCUGCAAUGCAUAGCAAUUGCAACACUUGAUAUAGCUUUUAGGGCUAAUGAAUUAUGACCCCCAAAAAGGCAUGAGCUGCUGCAUGGAAAACGCAAAUAGCAAACACCCUUGUGCCACUACGAUUGUGCCUGUGGAUAUAUCAUGGGGUCAAGCCUCCAGUGCAAGAAGCAAUGCAUGAAGAACCCUCAGUCUCC